CGUGAGCUGGGUUCAGACCGUCGUGAGACAGGUCGGUCUCUAUCCGCUGUGGGCGCAGGAAGUUUGAGGGGAGCUUUCCCUAGUACGAGAGGACCGGGAAGGACGUACCUCUGGUGUUCCGGUUGUCCCGCCAGGGGCACUGCCGGGUAGCUAUGUACGGAACGGAUAAGCGCUGAAAGCAUCUAAGUGCGAAGCCGGCCCCAAGAUGAGACUUCCCACCCCGAGAGGGGGUAAGGCCGCAGAGAGACUAUCUGCUCGAUAGGCCGCGGGUGUAAGCGCAGUAAUGCGUUCAGCCGAGCGGUACUAAUCGGCCGAGGACUUGACCAC
This 327-nucleotide ribosomal RNA is filed under the name Chloroflexota bacterium. RNAcentral describes it as "partial 23S ribosomal RNA". It matches the Rfam family "Bacterial large subunit ribosomal RNA", at positions 2599 to 2925 of the family's 2925-position model. The record is from RNAcentral. Lineage: Bacteria; Bacillati; Chloroflexota.